UGAGAAUAAAAGGUUCCUUUGGAAAUCGUCAAGACAUAGAAAAUAGUCUUAUUCCAGCAAUUUAUUGAAAGCUCCAAAUCGGAAGAUCCCUGGUUAAAUCGUAUUAUUUUUUUUAGGCCACAGCUGCUUCACUUCACAAUCUAUUCAGAGUGAACGCACAAAUGAAUGGAAUAUUUAUGAAAUAUAUCAAAGACCACCGGCUCGCGUUUUACAUAAACAUACCCUGAAAGUUCUUACCAAGUGCGUCCCUGAAUUCCCCCUGAAUAUUUGCAACUCCAAAUCGUUUAAUUGGGUUGCAUGUGUUGCCUGUAUGUCAUGUUUACAUUUUUCUAGUUUUUGUAUCUUUAUCAUAUAUCUAACAGAUGCUGAAGAUCGUUUUCGGAUAUUCAUUUUGUGGCAUUUUUACGUCGUUUUCUGUACUCUGAAUAGCUUGUGCGUGAACCGAGGUUUUUUACAGAAAUUUCUUGUGGAAAUUCAAGUUUUGGGAUGAAAAUAACCAUCUAUAUUUCCAUUAUCACUAAUUCGACGGUUGGGGUAGCAAUAUUACCCAUCUGAGGAUCAAACACAUACUCCUGCUAGUAUAGGAAGGCCGCCCAACAACUUGAACAAUACAAGUUUCUACGUAGUUUGGAUCGUCCCGUUCUGAACCGAACAACGGAGAUGAAAUUCACGUAUUUCCUAUCCGAAGAAAAGGAAAAAUAACUUGAGAGGGAUUUUCGGCCACUGUGGAUUUGUUUGGAUCCUCGAAUUGGUAGUUUCUCCGAUUGUAUUGCAAAUUCCUGAAUCGUCAAGUUAAUACAGUCCACGAACACCAACAUGGUCCAUUUGAGCCAACGGAUAUGAAAAAGAAGUGAAUAAACGUUGAGAAAAGCUGAAAAUCAGAUUCUAUUCGACACCAAGAGGUAGUUGGU
Molecule: long non-coding RNA, 911 nt
Organism: Coccinella septempunctata (seven-spotted ladybird)
Lineage: Eukaryota; Metazoa; Arthropoda; Insecta; Coleoptera; Coccinellidae
Exons: 3
Source: RefSeq, a predicted model, not a curated record